AGAGUUUGAUCCUGGCUCAGGACGAACGCUGGCGGCAUGCCUAAUACAUGCAAGUCGAGCGAACAGAUGAAGUGCUUGCACUUCUGACGUUAGCGGCGAACGGGUGAGUAACACGUAAGGAAUCUACCUAUAAGCGGGGGAUAACAUUCGGAAACGGGUGCUAAUACCGCAUAAUAUCUUCUUCCGCAUGGAAGAAGAUUGAAAGACGGCUCUGCUGUCACUUAUAGAUGACCUUGCGGUGCAUUAGUUAGUUGGUGGGGUAACGGCCUACCAAGACGAUGAUGCAUAGCCGACCUGAGAGGGUGAUCGGCCACAUUGGGACUGAGACACGGCCCAAACUCCUACGGGAGGCAGCAGUAGGGAAUCUUCCGCAAUGGGCGAAAGCCUGACGGAGCAAUGCCGCGUGAGUGAAGAAGGCCUUCGGGUCGUAAAACUCUGUUAUAAGAGAAGAACAAAUUGUAGAGUAACUGCUACAGUCUUGACGGUAUCUUAUCAGAAAGCCACGGCUAACUACGUGCCAGCAGCCGCGGUAAUACGUAGGUGGCAAGCGUUGUCCGGAUUUAUUGGGCGUAAAGGGAGCGCAGGUGGUUUCUUAAGUCUGAUGUGAAAGCCCACGGCUUAACCGUGGAGGGUCAUUGGAAACUGGGAAACUUGAGUACAGAAGAGGAAUGUGGAACUCCAUGUGUAGCGGUGGAAUGCGUAGAUAUAUGGAAGAACACCAGUGGCGAAGGCGACAUUCUGGUCUGUUACUGACACUGAGGCUCGAAAGCG
Molecule: ribosomal RNA, 771 nt
Filed under: uncultured bacterium
Lineage: Bacteria
Description: bacterial SSU rRNA
Rfam family: Bacterial small subunit ribosomal RNA
Source: RNAcentral